Non-coding RNA from Macaca mulatta (Rhesus monkey), 2238 nucleotides. NCBI's taxonomy places the organism in Eukaryota, Metazoa, Chordata, Mammalia, Primates, Cercopithecidae. The record is from RefSeq and is a predicted model, not a curated record.
ACCAGGAGGACCAGAAGUGGAGGGGGGUGGGCAGUGGCUGGCCUGGGCCAGAUCCUGGGCUAGGUUUUUACCUGGGCUAGGGAGCAGUGAUGGGGAGCCCUAUUUUGCAGAGGAAGAAACUGAGGCUCAGAGAGGUGAGGUAACUUCAUCUCACAUCUAUCUACCUGCCCAUCAUCUCUCCAUCCAUCUAUCCACCUACCCAACCACCCACCCCCCUGUCCAUUCACCCAUCCAUCCACCCAUCCAUCCACCCAUUCAUCCACCCAUCCAUCCAUCCAUCCACCCACCCACCCUUCUACCUAUUCACCCAUCCGCCCACCCACCUGUUUAUCCAUCUACCCACCCAUUUAACCAUCCUUCUAUCUAUCCAUCCAUUCAUCUACUCUUCUACCUAUCUACCUGUCCACCCACUCACCUGUCUACCCACCCAUCAACCCGUCCAUCCAUCCACACUUCUACCUGUCUAUCCAUGCGCCCACCCAUCCAUUCAUCCAUCCACCCUUCUCCCUAUCCACCCAUCCGCCCACCCAUCUAUUAAUCCAUCCACCCAUCCACCUAUCUGUCCAUGUAGCAGUAUUUAUAAACUGCUGUACUUACCAUGUGUCAUAUACUGAACCAGGUCUUAGGAAUUCAGCGGUGAGCAGCACAGUUAUGGCCUCUAGUCCCACAGAACAUACAGCCUAAGAUAGAAGACAGACCAAGUAACUAAAUGGGAGCUUUAUGGAUGGCACAAUAGGGGAAGGACAGGGUUUUUUCUGGGGAAGGUUCUGAAGGAAGUGACAUUUAGGCUGAGGGCUAGCUGGGAGUUAGCCCAAUAAACCAGGAGCAGAAAGUGUAUUCCAGGCCAAAGGACAGCAGGUGCAAAGGCCCAGUGGUUUGAAAGAACCAAAAGAGCACAGGAUGGCACAGGAUGGCAGCAGGGAGCCAGAAGGCAGGAAUGUGGGUGGAGCCAGACCACGCAGGAGCGUGUGAGCUGUGGCAAGAAGUUUGAAUUUGUCCUCAGAGCAAGUGGAAGAUAGCAAAGGACUUUAAGCACGUGAGUGGGAGAUCAGUAUGUGUUGGCUACAUGACCUCAGCAGGUUAUGUAACUUCUCUGUAUCUCAGCUACUUCAUUUGUAAAGUGGAACGAAUUAUUGCCACCUUUUCAGGAUGCUGCAAAGAUUAAGUGAGGAAAUGCAUGAACAUCACGUGGUUUCUCGUUGGCAUGACGCAACCUUAGUUCCCUUUGCUGUUCUAAUUUGAACGUGCAUAUUUUGGGGGAUUCUAGCCAGGGUGGCAUUGAGGACUCACACCAUGGUCCACUUGUUGUUUGGCUGACCCCUGCAAGUGCCCAGCGAGAGGCUCAACAAACAACAAACACUGCAUCCCUUAGAGAAAGAGCAGGGUGAGCGCAGGAAUCCUAAACGUCCCAACCUGGCCACUCAGGCACGCCCCGUCGGAGCCUCCUGGGUUCCCAAGUCUCUGACCUGAGGACAGAAGUCGCAGAUCUGCCAAACCACGCAGAAGAAAGCCAGCGAAAAACGUUUAGAGGUGUCAUCAGGCGCCAGGUCUUAUUGGUGCGUGACCGCCAGGCCCCACCCAUGCACAGAGGUCACUAGCGUUCAGUGAGCGCCUCCUUCACACCUACCCUGAGUCUGGCAUUUUACCAGCACAGUAGGAACUUGGUAUGGUUACCUCCUAGAAACCUCACUUCCACCCUCCAAGGUGAGGCUGUUCGGACCCUGAACUGUUGGAAGAGGAACCCUGGCAGGAGAGUAGCAGAUGCAGAAUUCAAACCCAGGUCUCCUGAUCCAAUGCCCAGGGUUUCCUUUCAUUUGUUUUCAUUUUACCAUGCUACAGGAGGGAGCAAGAACAAGAGCCCAGGUAAAGGAAUUUGCAAGUCUGGCAGGCAUGGAAAGCAAAGUCUUUUCUUCAUUUUGCCCCCGUUUGUUUAGUUUGCCCCAGGUUAAAGGUCAAGUUCGUUUGUGGAUGAGGAAAGUCUUCACUGAUCUCCAGCAGUCUAGUGUGGUGGGGCACCCAGGGAAAGGACUAGGUAAAAGAAAUAUAAUCAAGCUACAGAAAGUUUCAGAAGGAAAAAAUAUCAUGUAUUCUUACCUCCUCGAGAGCCAGGAAAAGAAGCCUUACCAUCACAAGGUUGCUUUUUCUAUGUGAUAGGAAUAACCAGACUUUCUUUGGCCCACCCCUUUAUUAGUCUUGAUUAUGUACAAUAAAGAUAAAAACUUUGUAGCCAACGACCAA